GUAGGGAAUAUUGCACAAUGGGCGAAAGCCUGAUGCAGCAACGCCGCGUGAGGGACGACGGCCUUCGGGUUGUAAACCUCUUUUAGUAGGGAAGAAGCGAAAGUGACGGUACCUGCAGAAAAAGCACCGGCUAACUACGUGCCAGCAGCCGCGGUAAUACGUAGGGUGCAAGCGUUAUCCGGAAUUAUUGGGCGUAAAGAGCUCGUAGGCGGUCUGUCGCGUCUGCUGUGAAAACUGGAGGCUCAACCUCCAGCCUACAGUGGGUACGGGCAGACUAGAGUGCGGUAGGGGAGAUUGGAAUUCCUGGUGUAGCGGUGGAAUGCGCAGAUAUCAGGAGGAACACCGAUGGCGAAGGCAGAUCUCUGGGCCGUAACUGACGCUGAGGAGCGAAAGCGUGGGGAGCGAACAGGAUUAGAUACCCGUGUAGUCC
This 430-nucleotide ribosomal RNA is filed under the name uncultured bacterium. RNAcentral describes it as "partial 16S ribosomal RNA". It matches the Rfam family "Bacterial small subunit ribosomal RNA", at positions 354 to 796 of the family's 1533-position model. The record is from RNAcentral.